GCUUAACACAUGCAAGUCGAGCGGGGAAGGUUGCUUCGGUAACUGACCUAGCGGCGGACGGGUGAGUAAUGCUUAGGAAUCUGCCAUUUAGUGGGGGACAACAUUCCGAAAGGAAUGCUAAUACCGCAUACGUCCUACGGGAGAAAGCAGGGGAUCUUCGGACCUUGCGCUAAAUGAUGAGCCUAAGUCGGAUUAGCUAGUUGGUGGGGUAAAGGCCUACCAAGGCGACGAUCUGUAGCGGGUCUGAGAGGAUGAUCCGCCACACUGGGACUGAGACACGGCCCAGACUCCUACGGGAGGCAGCAGUGGGGAAUAUUGGACAAUGGGCGCAAGCCUGAUCCAGCCAUGCCGCGUGUGUGAAGAAGGCCUUUUGGUUGUAAAGCACUUUAAGCGAGGAGGAGGCUACCUAGAUUAAUACUUUAGGAUAGUGGACGUUACUCGCAGAAUAAGCACCGGCUAACUCUGUGCCAGCAGCCGCGGUAAUACAGAGGGUGCGAGCGUUAAUCGGAUUUACUGGGCGUAAAGCGUGCGUAGGCGGCUUUUUAAGUCGGAUGUGAAAUCCCCGAGCUUAACUUGGGAAUUGCAUUCGAUACUGGGAAGCUAGAGUAUGGGAGAGGAUGGUAGAAUUCCAGGUGUAGCGGUGAAAUGCGUAGAGAUCUGGAGGAAUACCGAUGGCGAAGGCAGCCAUCUGGCCUAAUACUGACGCUGAGGUACGAAAGCAUGGGGAGCAAACAGGAUUAGAUACCCUGGUAGUCCAUGCCGUAAACGAUGUCUACUAGCCGUUGGGGCCUUUGAGGCUUUAGUGGCGCAGCUAACGCGAUAAGUAGACCGCCUGGGGAGUACGGUCGCAAGACUAAAACUCAAAUGAAUUGACGGGGGCCCGCACAAGCGGUGGAGCAUGUGGUUUAAUUCGAUGC
This 917-nucleotide ribosomal RNA is filed under the name Acinetobacter courvalinii. Its description in RNAcentral is "bacterial SSU rRNA". It matches the Rfam family "Bacterial small subunit ribosomal RNA", at positions 46 to 957 of the family's 1533-position model. Lineage: Bacteria; Pseudomonadati; Pseudomonadota; Gammaproteobacteria; Moraxellales; Moraxellaceae. The record is from RNAcentral.